This 253-nucleotide ribosomal RNA is filed under the name uncultured bacterium. RNAcentral describes it as "partial 16S ribosomal RNA". It matches the Rfam family "Bacterial small subunit ribosomal RNA", at positions 524 to 776 of the family's 1533-position model. The record is from RNAcentral.
UACGUAGGGUGCGAGCGUUGUCCGGAAUUAUUGGGCGUAAAGAGCUUGUAGGCGGUUUGUCGCGUCUGCUGUGAAAGACCGGGGCUCAACUCCGGUUCUGCAGUGGGUACGGGCAGACUAGAGUAUGGUAGGGGAGGCUGGAAUUCCUGGUGUAGCGGUGAAAUGCGCAGAUAUCAGGAGGAACACCGAUGGCGAAGGCAGGUCUCUGGGCCAUUACUGACGCUGAGAAGCGAAAGCAUGGGGAGCGAACAGG